RNAcentral lists this transfer RNA (74 nucleotides) under Minisyncoccota bacterium. Its description in RNAcentral is "tRNA-Trp". It matches the Rfam family "tRNA". From Rfam's summary of the family: Transfer RNA (tRNA) molecules are approximately 80 nucleotides in length. Their secondary structure includes four short double-helical elements and three loops (D, anti-codon, and T loops). The record is from RNAcentral. Lineage: Bacteria; Bacillati; Minisyncoccota.
GGGCGAUUAGUUAAGUGGUAUAACGACGGUCUCCAAAACCGUAGUUGGGGGUUCGAUUCCCUCAUCGCCCGCCA